This 46-nucleotide non-coding RNA is filed under the name Schistosoma curassoni. Lineage: Eukaryota; Metazoa; Platyhelminthes; Trematoda; Strigeidida; Schistosomatidae. The record is from RNAcentral.
GCACUGCUGAGGAGUCCCACAACAGGGCGAAACUGCCGUCCAGUGC